UAACACAGGUGCUGCAUGGCUGUCGUCAGCUCGUGUCGUGAGAUGUUGGGUUAAGUCCCGCAACGAGCGCAACCCUUGUCAUUAGUUGCUACGAAAGGGCACUCUAAUGGGACUGCCGGUGACAAACCGGAGGAAGGUGGGGAUGACGUCAAGUCCUCAUGGCCCUUAUAGGUGGGGCUACACACGUCAUACAAUGGCCGGUACAGAGGGUAGCCAACCCGCGAGGGGGAGCCAAUCCCACAAAGCCGGUCGUAGUCCGGAUCGCAGUCUGCAACUCGACUGCGUGAAGUCGGAAUCGCUAGUAAUCGCGGAUCAGCAUGUCGCGGUGAAUACGUUCCCGGGUCUU
RNAcentral lists this ribosomal RNA (346 nucleotides) under uncultured Allobrachymonas sp. RNAcentral describes it as "bacterial SSU rRNA". It matches the Rfam family "Bacterial small subunit ribosomal RNA", at positions 1030 to 1382 of the family's 1533-position model. The record is from RNAcentral. Lineage: Bacteria; Pseudomonadati; Pseudomonadota; Betaproteobacteria; Burkholderiales; Comamonadaceae.